CUUCGUCAUCCUCCAGCCAUUAGGAUCUGGUAAAACAUAAACAUUCAGCUUUAUGACGCGAGUGAUAAUUUCUGUCAUUACAAUUUUACAACGGAGGGACUUAAUUUAUAUAAGCUGAUGCCCUUUCCGUGUUGACUAAAUGGGCAGUGAUGAUGGUGGUAGUGAUGGUGGUGGUGGUGGUGGUGGUAUAUUUACUGAGAGAGCGAGUGAGUGAAAUUAAGCACCAAGCAAGCCAAGCCAUACGGUUUUAUGUGAUGAGAGUAAAGAGAAUGGCGAACAAUUACGAGCGUGACGUGGCAGACUUAAGUGGUAGUGGUAAACGGGCAGGAGGGAAUGGGUGGUUACAGUGUACAGUAAGGAAUGAUCAGGGAAAGCGUUUGUUUGUCUGAUAUUGAUGAGAGUUAGGCCUGUGGUGGUUCACGAGGAAAGGUUUAUUGGCACCGGUUUGCAAAUAACUAUCGUAUACUUUUUUUUUCUGCCACAUUUUCUUUCCUUUCAGUAUUCUCUCUCUCUCUCUCUCUCUCUCUCUCUCUCUCUCUCUCUCUCUCUCUCUCUCUCUCUCUCUGCGUGCGUGUGUGUGUAUUGCAAGGGAUGUGUUACAAGAAUGGCGGUGUUCACACAUGUACUCACGCUCUGCAUCAUGGGAGGCCGCUUCGUGGGUCGCCUGGGAAAGCACGACCUGAACCCCAGGCAUCUCUUAUCUACCAUCCAGGAUUCCAUCGCAGGACCUGGCACGUCGCUUCUUUUCUUGUGGCGCUGGUACAGAAUUCCUGGUAGCGAUGGACCUGAAGAAAGCGUUGGCGAGUCGUCCAUCCACAAGGCAGUUCAGUAUUUCUUGCAGGCGAGUCAUGUUGUGUUGUGGCGUCGUGAAGAGUCCCGCCCAUCUCCACCUCAGAGGACAGGUCACAGCAAAAAGGAUCCCUGCCAUAUGAUACUCGCCUGCCAAAUGCAGAGACGAGAGAAGGAGCCACUCAGCCGCUUCACAACACACAAGACUAUAAAAAACGCACUCGACCUGAGCUCCUUACCUGCGUACAAGUGGCGGAUCUUUACAGUCACCAGCGCGCCGGGAAAGGUACACGCGUCCCACACAGGUGCUGGUGGCCCGUCUUGGCACUCUGGUGACGUUUACUUGCUCUGCGCCUGGAGGAGACAACGAAAAUAUUUUGUAAUAGAAAACUAAAAUCCUUGUCCUGCAGUGAAAUUAUAAAGAUUGGUGGUGUUUUUGUUUUUAACUUAAGAUUAUCGUGGAAUUUUAUAGCUUUGUGUCUCUUCCAACAAAGUAAUAAUAACUACAAAUCAAAAAACAUUAUAAUUUUCAAUUCAUUGCUGUUGAUCAUUUCUUUAUGGAAUUACAGAAACGAUAUGUAAUGUUCCUGAGAUAAACUGUUAUUUUAUAAAAAGAACAAAAGUGCUGCCAGCUGUGUAAUAAUGUGAAAGAGAGACACUUGUUUGUUAAUGUAAUUUGUACGUUCG
Molecule: long non-coding RNA, 1476 nt
Organism: Portunus trituberculatus (swimming crab)
Lineage: Eukaryota; Metazoa; Arthropoda; Malacostraca; Decapoda; Portunidae
Exons: 3
Source: RefSeq, a predicted model, not a curated record